UCUCCUGUAGCUCAGUGGUAAAGCAUCCAACCGGCGUGCGGAAGGGCAUAGGUUCGACUCCUGUUGGGGGAA
Non-coding RNA from Desmophyllum pertusum, 72 nucleotides. The record is from the annotation of a GenBank genome assembly. Lineage: Eukaryota; Metazoa; Cnidaria; Anthozoa; Scleractinia; Caryophylliidae.